CCAAUAGCGUAUAUUAAAGUUGCUGCAGUUAAAAAGCUCGUAGUUGAAUUUCGGGACUGAUAUGUCGGUCGUGCCUCGGUACGUACUGGUAUUUUUGGUUUCUCCCUUCUGACGAACCUUGAUGUCAUUAAUUUGGUGUCUUGGGAAAUCAGGACUGUUACUUUGAAAAAAUUAGAGUGUUUAAAGCAGGCUCACGCUUGAAUACAUUAGCAUGGAAUAAUGAGAUAGGACGUUUGAUUCUAUUUUGUUGGUUUCUAGGAUCGACGUAAUGAUUAAUAGGGAUAGUUGGGGGCAUUAGUAUUCAAUUGUCAGAGGUGAAAUUCUUGGAUUUAUUGAAGACUAACUACUGCGAAAGCAUUUGCCAAGGAUGUUUUCAUUAAUCAAGAACGAAAGUUAGGGGAUCGAAGACGAUCAGAUACCGUCGUAGUCUUAACCAUAAACUAUGCCGACUAGGGAUCGGAUGAUGUUAAUUUUUUAAUGACUCAUUCGGCGCCUUACG
Molecule: ribosomal RNA, 499 nt
Filed under: uncultured Glomeromycotina
Lineage: Eukaryota; Fungi; Glomeromycota
Description: partial small subunit ribosomal RNA
Rfam family: Eukaryotic small subunit ribosomal RNA
Source: RNAcentral